UGUUGGCUAGUGCAACCUCAAGUCACUGAGUUUUUUUUCUUUUUUCUUUAAAGAUGUCCGUCUCCCAGGACCAAGUCUGUGGAUGUGGGGACGGAGCUGAAAGGCAGGUGCCUUGCUGCACUCAGGUGCACGACGCCUCCCACCCCCAUGAUGAAGGCUUUGUUCCCAGCGGCUUCAGCUGCCUGAGUCCUUCUUCGCUCGCACUGGGCUCCUUUACGUGAAGAGAUCUCCGGUGGCCUCAACAGUAAGCCAGUCACACAGGAAAAUCCGAAAAGAAGAAGAAAGCUCCAUCGUCCUUCUGAUAGUGUUUCGUGGAAAUACAACAGCCCAGUCGGAAGUGCAUGUUCCGGUGUCAUCUUCACAACCACUGUCAUCUGUGCGUAAAACGAGCCCUUCAACCUUCAGUCAUUAAUUAAUUGUUCAUUUCACACUUAGUCCUUUCAUAAAUUCAUGUUUGCACAGUACAUUCAUACGUUGACAUUUUCACCUCAAGGCAGUUUUUAUGCAAAGAGAAUUAUCUCACUCAGCGAUUGAUCCCACAGUGAGACAAAUUCCCCCAGCUAUCUUCUUCUAAAACUCCUAACUUUUAUAAAGCACAGUGACUCUUUCAGGCCACUGCAGUGGUGGCCCAGUCGAAAUGCUAUGCUAGCUUUCUGGAAGAGUUAAUUGACUUCAAGGCUAGGUAACGUGCCCUAGAGAAGAUAAACAACUGGGAAAAAGCAUCUCGAAGCAGGCGAUUGCUCCGCACUUACUUACCCCAAGAUUUCGGGGGACAGUGGGGACUUAUAUUCUUAAUACUGGAUUUGAAAUGUGGAAUGUUGAAGGAUUGAGAAGUACUAAGGGCUGAGACCCAGCACCUUCUGUGUAUGAUGAGCACAUAAGUCAUCCUUCUUUGGUGAAAACAGCCUCCAAGUUGUUUUGCCAAACCAAGCCUCUCUAACAGUAGGAGAUUGUCAAGGCUUCAAUUAGUAAAUCCCUAAGCACCAAAGUUAAUGAUGUGAGCAGUGAAAAGCGGUGGGAAACUCAUUCCCAGGGAAGGGAAGAGUCCGAUCAGCCGUCAUCGCCGCCGGGCACAAAGAAGGGCUGGAGUCCACCACCAAAAGAGGUGUUUGCAUUGCCACCAAAAAAGGAAGCAAAACUAUUUAAUCAUUAUUCUUGUUAGGUAAGAUUCAGUAACAUUUUUCCAAGCAAUAAAAUACUACAGAGAACACUUGGAUGCUGACUGCUCUUAAGACAGUAGCUCAAGUCUUAGGCACAAUCAGGGAAAAUAUGAACAUAUAGUUAAGGAAUUAACGAAAA
This 1299-nucleotide long non-coding RNA is filed under the name Homo sapiens (human). RNAcentral describes it as "HSALNT0082137". Lineage: Eukaryota; Metazoa; Chordata; Mammalia; Primates; Hominidae. The record is from RNAcentral.